RNAcentral lists this ribosomal RNA (465 nucleotides) under uncultured Klebsiella sp. RNAcentral's name for it is "bacterial SSU rRNA". It matches the Rfam family "Bacterial small subunit ribosomal RNA", at positions 338 to 795 of the family's 1533-position model. The record is from RNAcentral. Lineage: Bacteria; Pseudomonadati; Pseudomonadota; Gammaproteobacteria; Enterobacterales; Enterobacteriaceae.
CCUACGGGGGGCUGCAGUGGGGAAUAUUGCACAAUGGGCGCAAGCCUGAUGCAGCCAUGCCGCGUGUGUGAAGAAGGCCUUCGGGUUGUAAAGCACUCUCAGCGGGGAGGAAGGCGGUGAGGUUAAUAACCUCAUCGAUUGACGUUACCCGCAGAAGAAGCACCGGCUAACUCCGUGCCAGCAGCCGCGGUAAUACGGAGGGUGCAAGCGUUAAUCGGAAUUACUGGGCGUAAAGCGCACGCAGGCGGUCUGUCAAGUCGGAUGUGAAAUCCCCGGGCUCAACCUGGGAACUGCAUUCGAAACUGGCAGGCUAGAGUCUUGUAGAGGGGGGUAGAAUUCCAGGUGUAGCGGUGAAAUGCGUAGAGAUCUGGAGGAAUACCGGUGGCGAAGGCGGCCCCCUGGACAAAGACUGACGCUCAGGUGCGAAAGCGUGUGGAGCAAACAGGAUUAGAUACCCUAGUAGUC